AUGCAAGUCGAGCGAACUGAUUAGAAGCUUGCUUCUAUGACGUUAGCGGCGGACGGGUGAGUAACACGUGGGCAACCUGCCUGUAAGACUGGGAUAACUUCGGGAAACCGAAGCUAAUACCGGAUAGGAUCUUCUCCUUCAUGGGAGAUGAUUGAAAGAUGGUUUCGGCUAUCACUUACAGAUGGGCCCGCGGUGCAUUAGCUAGUUGGUGAGGUAACGGCUCACCAAGGCCACGAUGCAUAGCCGACCUGAGAGGGUGAUCGGCCACACUGGGACUGAGACACGGCCCAGACUCCUACGGGAGGCAGCAGUAGGGAAUCUUCCGCAAUGGACGAAAGUCUGACGGAGCAACGCCGCGUGAGUGAUGAAGGCUUUCGGGUCGUAAAACUCUGUUGUUAGGGAAGAACAAGUACAAGAGUAACUGCUUGUACCUUGACGGUACCUAACCAGAAAGCCACGGCUAACUACGUGCCAGCAGCCGCGGUAAUACGUAGGUGGCAAGCGUUAUCCGGAAUUAUUGGGCGUAAAGCGCGCGCAGGCGGUUUCUUAAGUCUGAUGUGAAAGCCCACGGCUCAACCGUGGAGGGUCAUUGGAAACUGGGGAACUUGAGUGCAGAAGAGAAAAGCGGAAUUCCACGUGUAGCGGUGAAAUGCGUAGAGAUGUGGAGGAACACCAGUGGCGAAGGCGGCUUUUUGGUCUG
Molecule: ribosomal RNA, 700 nt
Filed under: Bacillus sp. THGR35
Lineage: Bacteria; Bacillati; Bacillota; Bacilli; Caryophanales; Bacillaceae
Description: bacterial SSU rRNA
Rfam family: Bacterial small subunit ribosomal RNA
Source: RNAcentral